GUCCCUGAAGGACUAGUGGUUAGGCCUCGGUGCUGUCAUUGCCGUGGUGCAGGUUCGAUUCCCGGCCAGUUGCA
This is a non-coding RNA of Pangasius djambal, 74 nucleotides long. The record is from the annotation of a GenBank genome assembly. Lineage: Eukaryota; Metazoa; Chordata; Actinopteri; Siluriformes; Pangasiidae.